GCGCCCGUAGCUCAGCCGGACAGAGCGCCUGGCUUCGAACCAGGAGGUCGGGGGUUCGAUCCCCUCCGGGCGUACUA
RNAcentral lists this transfer RNA (77 nucleotides) under Planctomycetaceae bacterium. RNAcentral describes it as "tRNA-Arg". It matches the Rfam family "tRNA". From Rfam's summary of the family: Transfer RNA (tRNA) molecules are approximately 80 nucleotides in length. Their secondary structure includes four short double-helical elements and three loops (D, anti-codon, and T loops). Lineage: Bacteria; Pseudomonadati; Planctomycetota; Planctomycetia; Planctomycetales; Planctomycetaceae. The record is from RNAcentral.